This 994-nucleotide ribosomal RNA is filed under the name uncultured eukaryote. RNAcentral's name for it is "SSU rRNA". It matches the Rfam family "Eukaryotic small subunit ribosomal RNA", at positions 44 to 1055 of the family's 1831-position model. The record is from RNAcentral.
CUAAGCCAUGCAUGUCUAAGUAUAAAUGUUAUACAGUGAAACUGCGAAUGGCUCAUUAAAACAGUUAUAGUUUAUUUGAUAAUCGAAUUUACAUGGAUAACCGUGGUAAUUCUAGAGCUAAUACAUGCUGGUUAGCCUGACUUUUAGGAAGGGCUGUAUUUAUUAGAUAACAAACCAAUAUUCCUCGUGUCUAUUGUGAUGACUCAUAAUAACUGAUCGAAUCGCAUGGGCCUUGCCCGCGAUACAUCAUCCAAGUUUCUGCCCCAUCAGCUUUCGAUGGUAGUGUAUUGGACUACCAUGGCUUUAACGGGUAACGGAGGAUUAGGGUUCGAUUCCGGAGAGGGAGCCUGAGAAACGGCUACCACAUCUAAGGAAGGCAGCAGGCGCGUAAAUUACCCAAUCCUGACUCAGGGAGGUAGUGACAAGAAAUAACGGACCGAGGCUUUUGCUUCGGGAUUGCAAUGAGUAGAAUUUAAACCCCUUUACGAGGAUCAAUUGGAGGGCAAGUCUGGUGCCAGCAGCCGCGGUAAUUCCAGCUCCAAUAGCGUAUAUUAAAGUUGUUGCAGUUAAAAAGCUCGUAGUUGGAUUUCUGGGAGGGCGCCAAUGUCCGCUCGUUCGCGUGUGCAGCGGCGCCCUUCCAUCCUUCUGUUAACGCUUCUUGGUAUUCAGUUACUGGUAGCGGGCUCAGAUAUUUUACCUUGAGAAAAUUAGAGUGUUCCAGGCAGGCUUGCGCCGGAAUACAUUAGCAUGGAAUAAUAGAAUAGGACUUUAGUCUCCUUUGUUGGUUUGAGGGACUGAAGUAAUGAUUAAUAGGGAUAGUUGGGGGCAUUAGUAUUUAAUUGUCAGAGGGUGAAAUUCUCGGAUUUGUUAAAGACUAACUUAUGCGAAAGCAUUUGCCAAGGAUGUUUUCAUUAAUCAAGAACGAAAGUUAGGGGAUCAAAGACGAUCAGAUACCGUCCUAGUCUUAACCAUAAACUAUGCCGACUAGGGAUCG